Molecule: long non-coding RNA, 1098 nt
Organism: Saccostrea cuccullata (small rock oyster)
Lineage: Eukaryota; Metazoa; Mollusca; Bivalvia; Ostreida; Ostreidae
Exons: 7
Source: RefSeq, a predicted model, not a curated record
GACCGUGGUCUCUUAUUAUCACGUGACUAAUCAGAACGAGGCUACUUUCAUUUUUGCAUUGCCUACGUUCAGCAUGGGAUCAUUGAUAAUUAAGCCCUAUGAUAUCUUCAGAUUACAGCCUAUUAAGCUGGAAUGCCCCACACAUUAUGGAUGAUAAUUUUGUAAAUUAGAGCAGUACUUUCUCGAGAGGGGCCCUUUGUUUUUCUGGACAUCAGAAUUUUAUAUCAAUGGAUUGUCCUGGAAUUGCCAUACAGCAGGCUUUUUCCAUUGAACUAAAGGAAACUGUCCUUUAACAUGUGCAUGAAGCAGCUCCCUGGAUGGUGUGUAGUCUGUUUGUCAACAUGUGGAGCCCAGGUGUAUAUCAAGCUGUACAGCGACUAUCAGAAUUUCGGAGCAAAUCAAAGAUCUGAUUUUAAUCAGAUUGAUUUCAAAGAAGUAGUAGUCUCCCCUGUUAAAGAUCAGUAAUGGUGGAUAUACAAUGCUGGAUGCAGUCUGGUCAUCAACAGAGAGUUUUGACACCUGUAAUUUGCCUCUGUAACCUUUGCUGUGUUUAUCAGACAGAUGAUGAAUCAGUCUACUUCUUUUUACAAGAGGUGCCCCUCCAGACUCACAAAGAUCCAAAGUUGAGUUUCCAUGACACCUAUUCAGUCUAAUGCAUGUUGGCAACUGAUGCUGGUUCUAUUUUCACCAAGAAGCAUACCAUGCAUACCACCGGUAACCAAGUGACGGACAGGCAUAACCACACUUAGGCAUGCAGCUCUUCGUCCCCUUCCAGAUCUCCUAACCUCUUUGUAAAGCUUUUCUUGGUGACUGGUAAAGUGACAUUUUUACAAUAGAUAGAAAGGAUCCAUGCCUGGCCUCGUUUUUCCUCUCCAUGCUGAUUACAGUCCAGUGAACCAUCACAAACUUGAAACUUUGCGAUGUACCCUUCCUUAUGAUUUGUCCUUGUACCCACCAUUCUCUGCCCAAACAGCCAAUGCAAUGAAGAAGAAAAUGUGGGGUUGAAGUGGAUUAAAGAUCAACUUUUCUAUAUGACAGCAAAUAUUUUCUUGGUGCAUUGUAUAUUUGACUUGUAGAACAAGAAUUUAUCGAAGUUGU